UGAGACAAUGAGUCACAAUAGGCUAAAUAGUUCUUCAUAGCCGGAAGGAGAAAAACUGCGGUGUUGAUAUAGUCAAUAUAGAAAGAAAUUCGAAAGGUAUAUACCUAAACUCUAUCAUUUCAAGAAGAUAUUAACAUAAGAAAAAUUUGUCUUCAUAUCUACUUUAUACAUUCAUACAUAUUGGGUGUUACUAAGUACCUAUAGAGAUUAUAAAAUUAUGAAUAAUCUGUUCUUAUCAUCAUGAGAGUGGUACAACCACAAUUAAAGAAAUUCAGAAAAAGGUUUUAGGAAUCUAAAACAAUUAUAGAAACUAUUAACAAAGAAUCUUGAGACCUUCUUAUAUACUUAGUAAAUGUAUUAUGUAUUCCAAGAAAUAACAAGCUAAGUGCACAUAAGAAAAUAUCUGGAAAGAAAAAUAAGAAGAAAUAGAUAACUAAGCUUACUAAAAAAUACUUAAGUGCUCUCCGUUUUUACGUAAGUGGUGUUUUAUAACAGAAAUAAAAAGUAACAUUUGAAUAUUCAAAUGAUCAAGUUGCUAAAGUUUAUUGUAAAAAGCUAGCUAUCAAGGAAUAAGUUGAAGUAAUAAGAUCAAUUAGCUGGUAGAUGAUGAACUUUAAAGACUCAUUUGGUACAAUAGAUAAACAGAUAUAUAACUCAAGUUUGUUGUUAAAUUCUUUUUCUUUUGUAGUGGACACAAUUGAUUUGGUUUAGUAUUUGAAAAACUCGAAUUAGUCUAGCCUAUUGUUUGAGUCUUUAGAAAAAAUCGUGCAUGUUUGGCCAAAUACCCACUUAAUUCCACCUCACCACCAACUUUUCCAAUUUAACAAUUUCAGCCCCAACCUUUAUAAUAAUUCAUUUUAACUCAAUACUUCCAACAAAAUAAAUUCACCCACAAGUUUCUAAUAAUACACUUCAACCCACUCCAUCAUCCACCACUAUAUAUAUAAAAAUAAUAUCUAGGUUUCCAAAAAUAUUAAAAAAAAUAAUUUCAAAAGCUAAAAUAGAAAGUGGUUAUUUUUCCCACCAAAAAGCUCCGAUUUUGGCCACUUUUUCGGCGUUAUUUUCCGGCGAUCAGUUGUAAAUUAGUCCACAAACAUCAUAAGCUUGUCCAUUGCAUCCAUUGUUACCCCAUUUGUUUCCUAUCUUCUCAAACACACUUUUCACCAUUGUUAAAAAGCUUUAAAUCACUCACAUUACUCAAAACCACUUUAGAAAGUGCAUUACAGCAGCUCAGGCGACUCCAAGUUUAUUUCUUUAUUCCAUAAACCCAACAAUCAUUGAUUACAAGAAAUAUUUACAAAUUCAAGUAUUUGUACGAAAAUCUGCGCAGUCAUCGACCCGUCCUCACCAGUCAUCGACCGUGCAUACAACACGACAUAGACCACAAGCAUAAUCUACCAUCGACCGAAGCUUAAUUCUAGGAUGUCUAUUGCAGAAUUUGUUCUGGUUUCUGGUGAUUUCAUGGGAGAAUGGGUGGAGACUUCGAAAUGUUGGAAAUGGAGAUCAUUCACCAAGGUGACAAUUUCCAUUCCUGUUCGCCGCAACAGUUCGUACGACGAAUUUUUUGCAAGCGUAAUGCAGAGUGGGGAUCUAGAUUGCGCGUCGAGCGACGUGGUGAUUAGUUAUGUAAUGCAUUCGAGGGAAAAGGUGAGUCCCACUAUCAUAAAUAGCGAUGUACGUGUGCUGACGUACAUAAUAGAUGCUGAUGCAGAUGGCUUUAGGCCAAUUUUGAGGAUAAAUAUGGUUGAGAGGUCCUUUGAAGGACCGCUGAAUUGAUCAGCACCCCCACCGCGGCGCUCGACAGUCGACGAUGAUUUGAUCGACGGCGAUUUGAAUGAUUACGAGAACAAUGUUGAUGAUACAAUUAAUAUGGAAGAUUAUUCUAUGCAUAUGGAAAACUUUUCAUCGGACUCGCAAGAUGAUGAAGAAGACCGUGAAACGAAAUCACAAGCAGGACACUCCUUCACUGACGGAACCAGUUUCUAUUGUGGUCAAACAUUCGCAGAUAAAAAAUAGUUGAAAAUGUAACUAGACGCAGCAGCGGCGAGACAUUCUUUUGAUUAUUAUAUGGAGAAGAGUAGCAUGAAAUUGAUGAAGGCGCAAUGCUUAUCUCGUGGUUGUGGCUGACUGUUGCGGCCAAAAAAGUACGAACCUUGGACAGAUUUUGCAUAUACAAGUAUGUCGGGAUGCACACGUGCAGCGUUGAAAAUGCCACCCGCAAGCACAAAAAAAUCUCAUCUGAAUUGAUUGCUUCAGUAUGCGUUAAUCAUUUUUGGGAUGGUAAGGGUCCAAGCAUAAGAGAAAUUCAAAUAAUUGUAUUUAAAGAGUUGCGUUGCAACGCAAGCUAUUGGAUGUGUUGGAAAGGAAGUGUAAUUGCGAAGAACAUCAUUCGCGGGACACCGGAGCACGGAUAUGCUUGCUUGCCGGCUUUUUCCCACAAUGUGGAGUUAUUGAAUCCCGGGUAUUCUUACUCUAUCAUGGUAAACCGGAUGGAUGGAUCGUUCGUUUACUACUUCUUAGCAUUCGAAGCUUGCAGAUGAGGAUAUGACCACAUGAGAAAGGUAAGUGUCGUCGAUGACACAUAUUUGUAUGGCAAGUACGGGGGCGUUCUGCUGAGCGCCGUUGCACAGGACACCGAAAAUCAUAUAUUUCUGAUUGCCUUUUGUAUAGUCGAUAAAGAGAACGAUGCUUCUUGGACCUUCUUCUUCCAGAAGCUGAAGUCUAUCAUAGAAGAUGAACUAGAUCUAUGCGUCAUCUCCGACAGGCACAUUAGCAUCGCCAAUGACUUCUCCCGUGUAUACAGUCGUGCACAUCACGGACUUUGCAUGAGGCACCUCGCUGAAAGUCUUUGCAUAAAUCAACACUGCGGAGAACAUCUUUAUCUAUUCUAUGCCUCGGGAAAGGCUUAUUCCUUUGACGAGUUUAGCGAUAAUUUUGUAGAAUUGAAGAGUAAAUUCCUUGAGGCAACUCAUGUCCUUGAAAAUGUGCUUGAUUUUAAAAAACGGAGUAGAGCACACUUUCCGGGCAAUAGGUAUGACGUGAUGACCACAAAUAUCACCGAGUCGCUCAACUCGAUUUUGAUGGAUGAAAGGGAGUACCCCAUGUCGUACAUAUUCAAUUCAAUUGCUAAAAAAUUUGGUGAAAAGUUUAGGGAGCGGCAUGCAUUUGUCGGUGGUAAAGAGAACAUAUUUGUGUCUUCUGCGGAAAGGAUCCUAAGGGAUAAUAAGAGUGCGAGCGAUUCCUUGUAUGUGGGUAAUACAAAUGGGGUUCUCGACGGGUAUACGGUGUUCGGCAACGACGUUACUGCCAAGGUCAAUCUCUUUGAGAGGAGCUGUUCUUGUCGGAAAUUUGACUUGGUGAAAAGGCCGUGCGAACACGCGAUGGCAGCUUUGCGAGCAAAGAACGACGAUGGCGAAGAUUAUGGUAACUCCAUCUAUGACUACUCUUCGUCAAUUUAUAAAGAUGAAAGUUACCUCCUCGCAUACUCGGAAGCAAUUAACGUGGUCCCUCCGGAGGCUGAAUGGACUGUGCCACAGGAAUUGAUAGACACCAAAAUUUUUCCACCCCCGUAUGAUCCCAAACUCGGAAGGAAGAAAGUCAAGCGCACUAAGGGCGUCGGUGAGACAUUCAAGUCCAAAAGUAGGAAUAGGUGUUCAAUAUGCAAGCAAGAAAUUCACAAAAGAACCACGUAUAGAAUGGGCAUCAAAUCAUAAAUAGGCUUUUUUUUAGUUUCAGUUGUAAAGCUACUAUUUUGGGGGAUGAAUGUGCAUUUCUAUAGAUUUUAACAUUCAGUUAUUAUUGACCUAAAGAUUUGUCUACGAUAGACUAUCUAUAGUCUACGGUAUAUAUAAUAUAUGGUCUAUAAAAUAUUAUGUAUUGAUUAUAUUAUUGUUGAUCUACCAGGUUAUGUUGGUCAUUUUCCCAGCUUAUCUCUCCAAUCGAUGCAAUGAAUCAAUAUUUUCCUUGUUUCCCGUUCCCAUUUAUUAAAAAGCUGCACAAAACAUCUCUUCACAAGGAAAAAC
Molecule: long non-coding RNA, 4022 nt
Filed under: Capsicum annuum
Lineage: Eukaryota; Viridiplantae; Streptophyta; Magnoliopsida; Solanales; Solanaceae
Description: long non-coding RNA (CANN_LNC007616)
Source: RNAcentral